This 269-nucleotide ribosomal RNA is filed under the name uncultured bacterium. RNAcentral's name for it is "partial 16S ribosomal RNA". It matches the Rfam family "Bacterial small subunit ribosomal RNA", at positions 524 to 775 of the family's 1533-position model. The record is from RNAcentral.
UACGUAGGGUGCAAGCGUUAUCCGGAAUGAUUGGGCGUUAAAGGGUCCGCAGGUGGCCCGGUCAGUCCGCUGUCAAAAGCCCGUGGGGCCUCAACCCUGGAGAAGGCGGCGGGAGACCACCGGGCUUGAGUUCGGUAGGGGCAGAGGGAAUUCCGGUGGACGGCGGUGAAAUGCGUAGAGUAUCGGGAAAGAACGCCAAGGGCGAAGGCACUCUCGACUAGGCCUGAUUCGUGACUGACACUCAGGACGAGAGCCAGGGGAGCGAAUGG